UGAAGCUGCAAACUUCUUUCACAUCAGGCGGCUGGCUCCAGCAUCUUCACCUAUCAUUUGUCAAGAGGGUAACCUGGUAAAAAUAGCUAAACGACACCUAAUCAGUUCUAAACUUCAUGAAAAUUCUAAUCAAGAAACAAAAGCCUAGUUUAUGUAGCCAGAAAGGCAGUUAUCUCAAAUGAAACACUGAACAAUUUUCUGGUUUGCUUGGUAUCUAAAACAAUGUUUUGACCGGCCAGAAAAAGCUACCAGGAGAAAUAUGACAAAUGAAAAGGAACAGCUGCUCCGGCUAGUGACUAUAGCUCACUAUCACUUGCUUUCCCUCUGCUUGAUGUUUUUCCAUUCACUGCAACAAGCUCUGUGUCAAAUAUUAGUGUUGCUCCGCCUGGAAUCGUAGGUGGGGAUCCCUGAGCACCAUAACCAAGUUUUGCUGGUAUUUUCAACUUUCGCUUCUCGCCUACGCACAUUCCCAAAAGUCCUUGGUCCCAUCCUGCAAGAAGGAAAUAUUCCAAGUGUCAAUAGUCUUUUGACAACACUUUGAAGGGAACAUAAUUGGGUAUUGGGCUUUUAGCAGAAAUCUGGUAACAAUAUAUUUAUAUAUGGAUAGAGAAAUCAAGAAUACAUGAAAGCAGUGGAUAGUCGUUAGUAUUUCAAAAACCUUUGAUAACUUGACCACUUCCAAGCUCAAAUUCAAUUGGAUCACCCCUUUCAAAGCUGGAAUCAAAAACAGUUCCAUCUGUGAGUUUUCCCUGUAAGUACAAAACAAUUUAUGAUGUAAAUAAAGAAAUUGAUAUGAAACUUGUUUACACCAAGAAUGAGGACUACGUAUAGGGUUAUAUGACAUGAAAAUGAAUAAUAAAGGAAAAUGAAGCACAGUGAUGGGAAAGAUAUGCACUUGAGUGUGUAACAACCAAAUAAUCUCCCAAUCAUAACUUAGAAUGCAUAAUGGGUCCUAGGAUAAUCGUCCGAGACCAAAAAAGUCAUUUGCAUAUCACAGAUAAAAUGAAGAAUAAAUUGACUGUUCAGGGACUCAGCAACGCCUAUUAUUAUUUCCAAUGCUGCAACUACUCACUUUGAAAAUGGCAUUAGGCUAC
Molecule: unclassified non-coding RNA, 1094 nt
Filed under: Hevea brasiliensis (rubber tree)
Lineage: Eukaryota; Viridiplantae; Streptophyta; Magnoliopsida; Malpighiales; Euphorbiaceae
Source: RNAcentral